GGCCUGGUCGCCGACCUGGGUGACGGCACCGGCGAUCACGUCGUCGAUCUGGACCGGAUCGACUCCGCUACGAGCCAC
This 78-nucleotide transfer RNA is filed under the name Mycobacterium kansasii. RNAcentral's name for it is "tRNA-Val". The record is from RNAcentral. Lineage: Bacteria; Bacillati; Actinomycetota; Actinomycetes; Mycobacteriales; Mycobacteriaceae.